RNAcentral lists this ribosomal RNA (460 nucleotides) under uncultured Methylomirabilota bacterium. Its description in RNAcentral is "bacterial SSU rRNA". It matches the Rfam family "Bacterial small subunit ribosomal RNA", at positions 977 to 1434 of the family's 1533-position model. Lineage: Bacteria; Methylomirabilota (SeqCode). The record is from RNAcentral.
GGGCUUGACAUCCCACGAACCUGCCCGAAAAGGUGGGGUGCCCGCAAGGGAGCGUGGAGACGGGUGGUGCAUGGCUGUCGUCAGCUCGUGUCGUGAGAUGUUGGGUUAAGUCCCGCAACGAGCGCAACCCUCACCCCUAGUUGCCACCGGGUUAAGCCGAGCACUCAAGGGGAACUGCCAGCGUCAAGCUGGAGGAAGGCGGGGAUGACGUCAAGUCACCAUGCCCCUUACGCCCUGGGCUACACACGUGCUACAAUGGCCAGCACAAAGGGACGCGAGACUGCGAAGUGGAGCUAAUCCCAAAAAGCUGGUCUAAGUUCAGAUUGCAGUCUGCAGCUCGACUGCAUGAAGGAGGAAUCGCUAGUAAUCGCGCAUCAGCCCGGCGCGGUGAAUACGUUCCCGGGCCUUGUACACACCGCCCGUCACACCACGAAAGCUGUCUGUACUCGAAGUCGCUGAG